GAUGAACGCUGGCGGCGUGCCUAAUACAUGCAAGUCGAGCGAACGGACUAGAAGCUUGCUUCUCUGAUGUUAGCGGCGGACGGGUGAGUAACACGUGGAUAACCUACCUAUAAGACUGGGAUAACUUCGGGAAACCGUAGCUAAUACCGGAUAAUCUUUUGAACCGCAUGGUUCAAAAGUGAAAGACGGUCUUGCUGUCACUUAUAGAUGGAUCCGCGCUGCAUUAGCUAGUUGGUAAGGUAACGGCUUACCAAGGCAACGAUGCAUAGCCGACCUGAGAGGGUGAUCGGCCACACUGGAACUGAGACACAGUCCAGACUCCUACGGGAGGCAGCAGUAGGGAAUCUUACGCAAUGGGCGAAAGCCUGACGGAACAACGCCGCGUGAGUGAUGAAGGUCUUCGGAUCGUAAAACUCUGUUAUGAGGGAAGAACAUAUGUGUAAGUAACUGUGCACAUCUUGACGGUACCUAAUCAGAAAGCCACGGCUAACUACGUG
RNAcentral lists this ribosomal RNA (497 nucleotides) under uncultured bacterium. RNAcentral describes it as "partial 16S ribosomal RNA". It matches the Rfam family "Bacterial small subunit ribosomal RNA", at positions 28 to 507 of the family's 1533-position model. The record is from RNAcentral.